GAAAAGCAUGGGUGGAUUCUUCCCGCCUCGAUCGGAUGGGGUCAAGUCGGAUCGGAUGUCGUAGAUGAGGCACACGUUUUGAUUUGAUAACACUUCACUGCAAAGGAAAGAUCAAGACGAAGUGGGAUCUAUGCAAGCUAGGGUCUCCUUACCGACGAAACGAAUCGGGUCCAGAUGGCACGCCAACCAGGUAGAGAUGGAGGCGAGGAAGCCUGAGUUUCUUCACUUGGAGUUGGAGGUAACGGGACUGCUUUGGCGAGAAGGCGCUCUCGUGACACCGGGGAAGGGGAAGACAACCUUCGAGGUGACGUUUAUGCGGGGGUCUUCGACGGUCAGGUGGGUUUGGGACGAGGCGAAGGAGGGAUGGCGAUUGGCGAGUGCUAAUUUGCG
RNAcentral lists this long non-coding RNA (390 nucleotides) under Hordeum vulgare. RNAcentral's name for it is "long non-coding RNA (HVUL_LNC021079)". Lineage: Eukaryota; Viridiplantae; Streptophyta; Magnoliopsida; Poales; Poaceae. The record is from RNAcentral.